Apis florea (little honeybee) is the source of this 1898-nucleotide long non-coding RNA. NCBI's taxonomy places the organism in Eukaryota, Metazoa, Arthropoda, Insecta, Hymenoptera, Apidae. The record is from RefSeq and is a predicted model, not a curated record.
UAAAUGUAUAUAAGAAAAAAAAGAGAGGCGCACUUAAAGCUGUAUUUAUCAUCUCGAAUCGAUCUCAAUUACCGCGAAACGUAUCGACGUUUGGCGAUCGACGAACGGUGAAUUAGCCGCGGAGAGAGAACACCGUAUCGCGUGACAUUCGAAAUUGUACGAGAAAGCAGGCGCGGAGGGAGGGAAGAAAAGCGAGCGGCGCGGUGGAAAGCGAGCGGAUCGCGAUCGUGAUCGGGAGCACGCUCGUUAGAGAGGCCGCCGGCUCGUUACUCGGCCGCUUCUGCAUCAAAUCCGGCAAUUAAACAGCGGCGAUCGCGUUUACGCCGAGAUAAAUACCGGUCACCUCACGAGACCGAGGCAGAGACUUAUGGGUUGAUGAAGAUUACACGGGGACAGGGGAAAGGUGGGAGAGAUGACAGGAGGAGACGACCAAGGUAGUUCCUGAACUUCCCAUCGAACGCUACAUGGACGAUGACCUCUUGGCGGGUUGCACAUUUUGAACGUCUGGAUGCGAUAAUAAUUUGGAUCAUGCGUAAUUUCGAUAAUAACGUAACUUCUUCCUUGUGUAUUUUAUUAGUUAGCUUGAUUGAAAGUAGCAUUAAAAUGGGAAAGGGAAUCGUACACGUGAUUUUUUAGAAAAAAUUUUUUUUAACAACAAAGAUCUUUCAAAAAAUUAAAUUCAAAGACGUGAAGUUGAGAGCUUCGUUUAUUCUUUGAAAAUGAAUUCAGAAUUUACAAAGCUUUUUUUAAAUAUCGACAAUUUUAUUUGCAACAAUUUUUUGCAUGUUACAAUUCAUAAGAUUAAAAUAUCACCCUAAACUAUUAACAUGUUAUAAUCUAUAACGAUAUAAAAUUUUAUUACCUGCUCUAGGGAAGUGUAAACUUUUCGAGAAUACGAAUAAAACGAGGCGAGAGACGAGCAACAAGGAGAGAGAGAGAGAAAGAGAGAGAGAGAGAGAGAGAGAGAGAGAGAAGAGAGCGUUACGACGAUGUCCACCGAUGAAUUACCAUACCGACCGGAUUACCUUUCAUGCGCGAAACAUCUCCAUCAGCUGGAACCGCGAAUAAUCCGAUAAGCGAAUUAAGAUUAGCAGCUUCUGAUGAGCCGCUAAGUGACUAUCGACGUUCGCAUAUCGACCAGCUUCGGUGACAUGGAGCUGAGUGGCGACGUCGAUCACCAGAAAUCGAUCAUUGCCUCCUCGCUCGAUCCUUCGAUCGACGUUGUUAUCGGCAUCGUACACAGUGUUAGCCCACCAUCAACCAUCCAACGAUCGAUAUCUAUACACCGAAUAAUCUCAGCAACUUUCUAAACUCUUCUCCUACCAUCAAUUCCAUCCAAAUCGAACCGACCGACGCAGCAUCUCUCUCGCCAACUGAUCACGGAAGAUCGAAGUGUCAGGUUCCCACGAGAACGUCGCGAAAUUCACGAACCGGCGAUCGUGUCGUCGGUUUUACGGUCCUCGUACAGAAGCUUGGAGCAGGUAUACACGUUUACGACGUCGCUGGAAAAUCGGCCGUAAACGCGACUCAGUCGUAAAGAUUGUCGAGUGGUUGCUCUCUCACGUUCCGGGCCAUUAGGAUCAGGACGGCGAAAGAGAGUCGCACGGCCCUGGAUGAAAGGAUACUUUCUCUGUCGCUCGUCGACGUUUCGGCGCAAGCGCGAUAGAUCUCGGCGAAACGGCGAUAAAACAAUCAUUUCGUUCUAGAGAGUGUCAGAUUCGACAUGCUGAUGACGAGCGAUGGCUUUAUAGCCAAAACAUGAUGUUAGAGAGAUUUUGUUUGAAAUAAUGUUGCAUCGAAAGUGAAAUUUCUAACUUGAAUGAUAUUCUACGAGAUGAAUGAUUAUUGAAAAAUGAAAUCUUCUUAAAUAUAAUUGUUUGGAGAAGGUUUAUAAACUU